Molecule: long non-coding RNA, 659 nt
Organism: Haliotis rufescens (red abalone)
Lineage: Eukaryota; Metazoa; Mollusca; Gastropoda; Lepetellida; Haliotidae
Exons: 3
Source: RefSeq, a predicted model, not a curated record
GUAAUUAUCGUACACAUAGUGUAGUUCCUAUCGCCACAGUGGCAACGUCUUGUGAUCGAGAUGGUUCGUCUUCGAUGUCAAUGUUUACAUUUGGGUGAGGUAGGCAACUGGUCGACUACACGAUCAGCAGACGAUACUUCAGCAGACGACAACAUAUUCUUUGGAAGAAUAUUCACUUCAUUUACUGGGACGACAAGCUUGAUCCAUCACAGUACAGGAAGACAGACUUCAAGGUGUGACGUGGUGAAUACUUUAAAUUUGGCACUAUUAAAUAUUUCGAGGCCUCUUCACGAGUGAAGACAAUGACAAACAUCUGAUCUGAGAGUAGAUAACCUAUAAAACAACACGUAUGCCAUGGUCGUACAGGUUGGCAGUCCCCUCGUUGGUGCAGAAACGAGGACCUCGUGGGGACCCGGGUUUGGAUAAAAUCCCAGCGCGACUACGCCGGAUCAGAUGGUCAAGCUCUGUGUUAUUGGACAUUGUGCGCCAAUGGCGUGGGUUGCUGCUGUCAUUUCAGUCAUUGGUUUGCCUUGCCAGACACGUUUAUUGACCCGCAAUGUGUGUAAAACAACACGGAAUCACUCACGCACGCUUAGGAGGAGACAACACCAUUACAGAUAAUGCUUUGUUUGUAUGUUGUUUAACGUCGCAGUCAGCAA